This 497-nucleotide ribosomal RNA is filed under the name uncultured bacterium. Its description in RNAcentral is "partial 16S ribosomal RNA". It matches the Rfam family "Bacterial small subunit ribosomal RNA", at positions 28 to 507 of the family's 1533-position model. The record is from RNAcentral.
GAUGAACGCUGGCGGCAUGCCUAAUACAUGCAAGUCGAGCGAACAGACGAGGAGCUUUCUCCUCUGACUUUAGCGGCGGACGGGGGAGUAAAACGUGGAUAACCUACCUAUAAGACUGGGAUAACUUCGGGAAACCGGAGCUAAUACCGGAUAAUAUAUUUAACCGCAUGGUUCAAUAGUGAAAGACGGUUUUGCUGUCACUUAUAGAUGGAUCCGCGCCGCAUUAGCUAGUUGGUAAGGUAACGGCUUACCAAGGCAACGAUGCGUAGCCGACCUGAGAGGGUGAUCAGCCACACUGGAACUGAGACACGGUCCAGACUCCUACGGGAGGCAGCAGUAGGGAAUCUUCCGCAAUGGGCGAAAGCUUGACGGAGCAACGCCGCGUGAGUGAUGAAGGUCUUCGGAUCGUAAAACUCUGUUAUUAGGGAAGAACAAAUGUGUAAGUAACUAUGCACGUCUUGACGGUACCUAAUCAGAAAGCCACGGCUAACUACGUG